UACGGGGGGAGCAAGCGUUGUUCGGAUUUACUGGGCGUAAAGGGCGCGUAGGCGGCGUGACAAGUCACUUGUGAAAUCUCCGGGCUUAACCCGGAGCGGCCAAGUGAUACUGUCGUGCUAGAGUGCGGAAGAGGCGAGUGGAAUUCCUGGUGUAGCGGUGAAAUGCGCAGAUAUCAGGAGGAACACCAAUUGCGAAGGCAGCUCGCUGGGACGUUACUGACGCUGAGACGCGAAAGCGUGGGGAGCAAACAGG
RNAcentral lists this ribosomal RNA (253 nucleotides) under uncultured bacterium. Its description in RNAcentral is "partial 16S ribosomal RNA". It matches the Rfam family "Bacterial small subunit ribosomal RNA", at positions 524 to 776 of the family's 1533-position model. The record is from RNAcentral.